GGGGAAUAUUGGACAAUGGGCGAAAGCCUGAUCCGGCCAUGCCGCGUGUGUGAAGAAGGCCUUUUGGUUGUAAAGCACUUUAAGUGGGGAGGAAAAGUUGACGGUUAACACCCGCCAGCCCUGACGUUACCCACAGAAUAAGCACCGGCUAACUCUGUGCCAGCAGCCGCGGUAAUACAGAGGGUGCAAGCGUUAAUCGGAAUUACUGGGCGUAAAGCGAGCGUAGGUGGUCAUUUAAGUCAGAUGUGAAAUCCCCGGGCUUAACCUGGGAACUGCAUCUGAUACUGGGUGACUAGAGUAGGUGAGAGGGAAGUAGAAUUCCAGGUGUAGCGGUGAAAUGCGUAGAGAUCUGGAGGAAUACCGAUGGCGAAGGCAGCUUCCUGGCAUCAUACUGACACUGAGGUUCGAAAGCGUGGGUAGCAAACAGGAUUAGAUACCCUGGUAGUCCACGCCGUAAACGAUGUCUACCAGUCGUUGGGUCUCUUGAAGACUUAGUGACGCAGUUAACGCGAUAAGUAGACCGCCUGGGGAGUACGGCCGCAAGGUUA
This 548-nucleotide ribosomal RNA is filed under the name uncultured bacterium. RNAcentral describes it as "bacterial SSU rRNA". It matches the Rfam family "Bacterial small subunit ribosomal RNA", at positions 356 to 896 of the family's 1533-position model. The record is from RNAcentral.